Molecule: ribosomal RNA, 399 nt
Filed under: uncultured bacterium
Lineage: Bacteria
Description: bacterial SSU rRNA
Rfam family: Bacterial small subunit ribosomal RNA
Source: RNAcentral
AUUGAACGCUGGCGGCAUGCCUUACACAUGCAAGUCGAACGGCAGCGGACCUUCGGGUGCCGGCGAGUGGCGAACGGGUGAGUAAUGCAUCGGAACGUGCCAUUGAGUGGGGGAUAACGUAGCGAAAGUUGCGCUAAUACCGCAUAUUCUGUGAGCAGGAAAGCAGGGGACCGCAAGGCCUUGCGCUCUUUGAGCGGCCGAUGUCAGAUUAGCUAGUUGGUGAGGUAACGGCUUACCAAGGCGACGAUCUGUAGCGGGUCUGAGAGGAUGAUCCGCCACACUGGAACUGAGACACGGUCCAGACUCCUACGGGAGGCAGCAGUGGGGAAUUUUGGACAAUGGGGGCAACCCUGAUCCAGCCAUGCCGCGUGAGUGAAGAAGGCCUUCGGGUUGGUUAAA